UAUGUGAUCGUCUCUCGCAUAUCAAUAAGCGGGGAAAAGAAACUAACAAGGAUUCCCCUAGUAACGGCGAGUGAAGCGGGAAGAGCUCAAAUUUGAAAUCUUAAAGGGUUUCCCUUUACGAAUUGUAGUUUAAAGAAGUGUUUUCUGUUGAGGUUUUGGUAAAAGUUCUUUGGAAUAGGACAUCAUAGAGGGUGAGAAUCCCGUAUUUGACCUUUACUUUCAACUUUGUGAUACACUUUCAAAGAGUCGGAUUGUUUGGGAAUGCAGUCCAAAGUGGGUGGUAAAUUUCAUCUAAAGCUAAAUAUUGGCGAGAGACCGAUAGCGAACAAGUACCGUGAGGGAAAGAUGAGAAGAACUUUGAAAAGAGAGUUAAACAGUACGUGAAAUUGUCAAAAGGGAAGCGUUUGACACCAGUGUUGUUUUUCUGAAAAUCAAUUAAAGAACUGUUUAUGCUAAGUUGUUUAGACUUUAUCAGCUAACUGUUUAGUUUUGAGCUUUUCUUUAAUGCACUUUUCAGUUAACAAGUCAACAUCAAUUUCUUUUGCUGUAAAAAAGCUUGAGGAAGGUGGCUUGAGAUUCGUCUUAAGUGUUUAUAGCCUCUUGCCUAUGCAGUCGGAGAGAUUGAGGUCUGCAGCGUAGAUCCUUCGGGGCUAAAUGCAUUUGUGCUAAGUUAUAGCAUUUUAUAGACAACUUGUUGACUAUGAUUUGUCUUGUAGCUUACUCGCUUAUGUUAUUUUACCUACGCUUAGGAUGUUGAGCGCAUGUCUCUCUCU
RNAcentral lists this ribosomal RNA (773 nucleotides) under uncultured Neocallimastigales. Its description in RNAcentral is "partial large subunit ribosomal RNA". It matches the Rfam family "Eukaryotic large subunit ribosomal RNA", at positions 23 to 616 of the family's 3401-position model. The record is from RNAcentral. Lineage: Eukaryota; Fungi; Neocallimastigomycota; Neocallimastigomycetes; Neocallimastigales.